UUGCACGCUGGCGGCAUGCUUUACACAUGCCAGUCGCACGGCAGCGCGGGGCAACCUGGCGGCGAGUGGCGAACGGGUGAGUAAUAUAUCGGAACGUACCCAGAAGUGGGGGAUAACGUAGCGAAAGUUACGCUAAUACCGCAUACGAUCUACGGAUGAAAGUAGGGGACCGCAAGGCCUUAUGCUUUUGGAGCGGCCGAUAUCUGAUUAGCUAGUUGGUGAGGUAAAGGCUCACCAAGGCGACGAUCAGUAGCUGGUCUGAGAGGACGACCAGCCACACUGGAACUGAGACACGGUCCAGACUCCUACGGGAGGCAGCAGUGGGGAAUUUUGGACAAUGGGCGCAAGCCUGAUCCAGCAAUGUCGCGUGAGUGAAGAAGGCCUUCGGGUUGUAAAGCUCUUUUGUCAGGGAAGAAACGGUAGAGGCUAAUAUCCUUUGCUAAUGACGGUACCUGAAGAAUAAGCACCGGCUAACUACGUG
Molecule: ribosomal RNA, 481 nt
Filed under: uncultured bacterium
Lineage: Bacteria
Description: partial 16S ribosomal RNA
Rfam family: Bacterial small subunit ribosomal RNA
Source: RNAcentral